GCAUGAACACUCUUCAUCCUGAAUUUGAGUUACAUUUGAUGCUCUUCAUUGGUUAGUGUAGUCCUGAUGUACAAAGGUCGUGAUCAGAACCUCAAGUUUUUCUUUUCCUCCAAUUUUGCAAUACUUGUAAAUUAGAAAAUAGAAUUUUUAUUGAGAAUGGCUUGAUGACACAAAUUUUGCUGUUGCUUCCUGGUUUAAUCAUUGGAUACACAUUCUUUCUUGAAUAUUUUUAUUUAUAGUGUCUGUUUUCCUAUCAGACAUAAGCAAUUUACCAUCAAUUCACG
RNAcentral lists this unclassified non-coding RNA (284 nucleotides) under Hevea brasiliensis (rubber tree). Lineage: Eukaryota; Viridiplantae; Streptophyta; Magnoliopsida; Malpighiales; Euphorbiaceae. The record is from RNAcentral.